RNAcentral lists this ribosomal RNA (484 nucleotides) under uncultured bacterium. RNAcentral describes it as "partial 16S ribosomal RNA". It matches the Rfam family "Bacterial small subunit ribosomal RNA", at positions 30 to 507 of the family's 1533-position model. The record is from RNAcentral.
AUUGAACGCUGGCGGCAGGCCUAACACAUGCAAGUCGAGCGGAUGAAGGGAGCUUGCUCCUGGAUUCAGCGGCGGACGGGUGAGUAAUGCCUAGGAAUCUGCCUGGUAGUGGGGGAUAACGUCCGGAAACGGGCGCUAAUACCGCAUGCGUCCUGAGGGAGGAAGUGGGGGAUCUUCGGACCUCACGCUAUCAGAUGAGCCUAGGUCGGAUUAGCUAGUUGGUGGGGUAAAGGCCUACCAAGGCGACGAUCCGUAACUGGUCUGAGAGGAUGAUCAGUCACACUGGAACUGAGACACGGUCCAGACUCCUACGGGAGGCAGCAGUGGGGAAUAUUGGACAAUGGGCGAAAGCCUGAUCCAGCCAUGCCGCGUGUGUGAAGAAGGUCUUCGGAUUGUAAAGCACUUUAAGUUGGGAGGAAGGGCAGUAAGUUAAUACCUUGCUGUUUUGACGUUACCAACAGAAUAAGCACCGGCUAACUUCGUG